GAUUAACGCUAGCGGCAGGCCUAAUACAUGCAAGUCGAACGGGAUUAUUGGUAGCAAUACUGAUAUGAGAGUGGCGCACGGGUGCGUAACGCGUAUGCAACCUACCUUUAACUGGGGGAUAGCCUUCCGAAAGGAAGAUUAAUACCGCAUAAACAAUGAAGUGGCAUCACUUUAUUGUCAAACUACCGGUGGUUAAAGAUGGGCGAUGCGUAAUAUUAGCUAGUUGGUGAGGAA
This 234-nucleotide ribosomal RNA is filed under the name uncultured bacterium. RNAcentral describes it as "partial 16S ribosomal RNA". It matches the Rfam family "Bacterial small subunit ribosomal RNA", at positions 28 to 259 of the family's 1533-position model. The record is from RNAcentral.